GGGGGCGAUCGGAUUCGACUGGUUCUCCGCGGGUCGGGGUGGCGUGCCGAGGUUGAUCAGCAGGCCUCGUAACAAGCUGAUCACACCAUAACUGCCAAACCGCAGUUUGCUUUGGCUGCGUAGGUAACCCCUACGCUGCUCGGGCUUAGGGAUCCUGCCUGUGGAGCCCAACCAGCCCGUCGCCAAAUACAGGCUGGCCUCUCUUCAUAGCCCGCCACGGGAGAGGCGAGAUUCGUCGUGGGCUGGCCGUAACGGGUUUUGUUCGCUGCACCUUGUUACGGUGAGAUUAAACAACGAACUACGCACGUAGAAGCUUCGGCUUAGGGCUCACAGGACGCGGGUUCAAUUCCCGCCGCCUCCAC
RNAcentral lists this transfer-messenger RNA (362 nucleotides) under Stratiformator vulcanicus. RNAcentral describes it as "Planctomycetes bacterium Pan189 transfer-messenger RNA, SsrA". It matches the Rfam family "transfer-messenger RNA". From Rfam's summary of the family: Bacterial tmRNA, also known as 10Sa RNA or SsrA, is named for its dual tRNA and mRNA-like properties. Its role is to liberate the mRNA from a stalled ribosome. Lineage: Bacteria; Pseudomonadati; Planctomycetota; Planctomycetia; Planctomycetales; Planctomycetaceae. The record is from RNAcentral.